GAGGAUGCAAGCGUUAUCCGGAAUGAUUGGGCGUAAAGCGUCCGUAGGUAGCAGUGUGUGUCUAUUGUUAAAGAGUUUGGCUCAACCAAAUAAAGGCGGUAGAAACUACACAGUUAGAGUGCGUUCGGGGCAGAGGGAAUUCCUGGUGUAGCGGUGAAAUGCGUAGAGAUCAGGAAGAACACCGGUGGCGAAAGCGCUCUGCUAGGCCGCAACUGACACUGAGGGACGAAAGCUAGGGGAGCGAAUGGGAUUAGAUACCCCAGUAGUCCUAGCCGUAAACGAUGGAUACUAGGCGUUGAGAGUAUCGACCCUCUCAGUGCCGUAGCUAACGCGUUAAGUAUCCCGCCUGGGGAGUACGCACGCAAGUGUGAAACUCAAAGGAAUUGACGGGGGCCCGCACAAGCGGUGGAGUAUGUGGUUUAAUUCGAUGCAACGCGAAGAACCUUACCAGGGCUUGACAUGUCUGGAACUCUGGGGAAACUCAGGGGUGCCUUCGGGAGCCAGAACACAGGCGGUGCAUGGCUGUCGUCAGCUCGUGUCGUGAGAUGUUGGGUUAAGUCCCGCAACGAGCGCAACCCUCGUACUUAGUUGCC
Molecule: ribosomal RNA, 593 nt
Filed under: Nostochopsis lobata 6501
Lineage: Bacteria; Bacillati; Cyanobacteriota; Cyanophyceae; Nostocales; Hapalosiphonaceae
Description: bacterial SSU rRNA
Rfam family: Bacterial small subunit ribosomal RNA
Source: RNAcentral